GUAAGGUUCCUUUCGUGUGAAGAUGCCGCUCUUUGGGAAAAUUAUUAUCAUCAAACGGAAUGGGACUGACGGCAUUUAUUUUCCGCUCACUGCCAGCUCAUGUUUGUUUGGAAGGAGAACAGAAUGUGAUAUUCGCAUCCAUUUGCCUCAGGUCUCGAAAGAACAUUGUAAAAUUGAAGUAAAUGAGAACAAGGAGGUGAGUUUCACCUGUGUGUUAGUGACAUUUGCGUUGUGUUGUUGCAUCUCACUGCGAUUCUGACGUGUUUGCUUUCUUUUUAGGCAAUACUGACUAAUUUAAGUACAGUAAAUCCCACACAGCUGAAUGGUGAUUAUUUCCAGCAGCCCGUGGCUCUGAAACAUGGGGAUGUGUUAACCAUUAUCGAUCGUUCUUUCAGGUGAGUGUCAAGCACCUGCUGUGAAUGCCUUGGUCCUUGAGGGUGCUCUGCAGGCCAGCAGUGCUGAGAGCUCUAUGGCACAAGCUCUGGCUGGUGGGGCAUUGGGUUGUGGAUGCCCCAUCCCUGCAGGCAUUCAAGGCCAGGCUGAAUGUGGCUCUGGGCAGCCUGGACUGUUGGUUGGUGACCCUGCACAUAACAGGGAGUUAGAACUGGAUGAACAUUGUGGGCCUUUUCAACCCAGGCCAUUCUAUGAUUCUAUUUUACUUUUAAAUACUUUCUCUAGAUUUGAAUAUCCUCUCCAAUCAACUCUGAAGAAGAGACGAUCCAGAUCUCCAAAAGAUGAAAAGCUGCAGCAGGUAGCAGAAGUGGAGCUGUUAUCCAAACAAACUUCAGGAUCUAAAAGUCUUUGUUCUUCAGGUUUGUACCUGUAUUAGAGGGGGGUGGUUAUAUUAUUUUUCAUGAGGAGGGUGGUGACGCACUGUUCACAGGUUGCCCAAGGAGGCUGUGGAUGCCCCAUCCCUGCAGGCAUUCAAGGCCAGGCUGGAUGUGGCUCUGGGCAGCCUGGGCUGCUGGUUGGUGACCCUGCACACAGCAGGGAGUUGAAAGUUGAUCUUUGUGGUCCUUUUCAACCCUUCUGUGAUUCUUCCAACCUAAUUUUACUCUAUGAGUAUCAGGAGGAAAAAGCAAUGCUGAAAAAGGGAAAGAGGGAAACCCACACCUAUUCUUAAAGACUUUUCAGUCUGAGUACAGUAUGCCUUUGUAUGCCUGUGUACUGUUUCAUUGUAGUUUGUGAUUUACCAAAACAGAGUCCCAUCAGGAGAAAUAACAUAGUUGCAUCCUGACAAACAGGCAAAACAGCUAAACUGGAACGAGCAGGAUAUGUUUGUAUCGCUCUAAAUGAUUUCUGCAGGUUCGGUUUAUUUAUAUUUUUGAAGCUGCAAUGCAAAAUGACAUUUGGAACAGAUGUGUGAAACUUCAUUGGUUGCUACAUUUACUUUCCAGUGACAACUGUAACACCACAAAGUCACUUUGGUGAUUAAGAUAUGUUAACAGAUUGCAUUUGAGUGAAUAUUGUUGCAAAAGAACGUUGUCAGGUAUUCUUUCUUAAAAAGAGUUUGUAAAAUUUAUAAUUCUAGAGCGACAGUUAGCUCUGCUAAAUCACAGCUCACAGUCUAUGUUAUGUAGGUGUAGUACAAAGUAGCUUUAUUCUAGAUGUGAUAAUUUGGAGUAAUGAUAGCCCUUAAACGGGUCAAAUGCCAGAACCUCCCAUUCUCCCUGUGUUCAGUAAAGAUACUUUCAUGAGAAGAUAGAAGGUUUCAUAGAAUCUAGAAUGUCCUGUGUUCAAAGGAACACACUGUGGAAUCAUGCUUACAUGCUGGAGUCUUGAAGUAGCAAGUUGCUUGCUGUGUCUCAUCUGGGAACUGCUAGCUCUCC
Molecule: long non-coding RNA, 1829 nt
Organism: Coturnix japonica (Japanese quail)
Lineage: Eukaryota; Metazoa; Chordata; Aves; Galliformes; Phasianidae
Source: Ensembl